UGUUCCAUGCACGAAAAAUCGCUGUGCCGAGGCCUUGCGCCCCCUCCGCAGCCAGCAGCCCCCUCGGGCUCGGGGCUCCGUACCCUCCGCAGCCCCAGUCGGGGUCUCCAGGCGCUCCGACUCCAUUUGCUGGGGCGAGGAAUGGAAAAGUUGAAACCCUGCGGGGCUCAGAGACGGGGAAUGCGCAGAACCUUUUGUGUCCUUCCCUACUCUCCGCUUCCUUUGCCUUCGCGUGCGGUGGCUCUGGUGGCCAAGGUUGCAGGUCCUACCGUGAGGAAGCGUACUACAUGUUUGGGAGGUGGAGGAAUUUACAAGAUUAAAAUAAAUUUGGUUGAUGUUUCUGAACAAAUUCAGCCCUUUUGAGGUAUGCCAUUUUGAAGACUGAGACUGGAAUUUUAUCUUUCAAAAUAAAGAAAAUCUGUGAAAAUAUUUUGUAUAACAAGGAUGUGGAACCUGAAUUCUUAAAGGGCCCGCCCGUACACCCUGAUAGGUGUUGGUGGAAGCACUUACACCCAGUCAGCUUGAAGAGUCUCAAAUGGACCCUACCACUGAGAAACCAAGAUGGCAGCCCACUGUGGGGGAUUGAGGAAAAUGGAUUAAAACAAGAGUGCUGUGAUAAUAUGCAACCCAGACAGGGUUCUUUUUGCAUGGAGCUGAUGAAAUGAAUGAAGACAUAGGUUUCUUACAAGUGGACAGUGCAUUUGAUUUUCUAAAGACUUUGUAUCAUUAAAACAAGUACAUUUUUGACAUUUGGAGAAGAUGAUAAAUUUUCACAGAUGAUAGUCUGUAUACCUGCAAUAUUUUGUGGUUUGACUUGUAUGAGUUUGACCUUGUGGAAUGUUAACUUGAAUAAAAUUUCUAAUACUUAAAA
Sorex araneus (European shrew) is the source of this 871-nucleotide long non-coding RNA. RefSeq lists it as uncharacterized. The record is from RefSeq and is a predicted model, not a curated record. Lineage: Eukaryota; Metazoa; Chordata; Mammalia; Eulipotyphla; Soricidae. The transcript has 5 exons.